GUAAUACUACGGGGGGCAGCAGUAGGGAAUUUUCGUCAAUGGGCGCAAGCCUGAACGAGCAAUGCCGCGUGAACGAGGAAGGUCUUCGGAUCGUAAAGUUCUGUUGAAGGGGAAAAAGAGCGGAGAGAGGAAAUGCUUUCUGAUUGAUAUUACCCUUCGAGGAAGUCACGGCUAACUACGUGCCAGCAGCCGCGGUAAUACGUAGGUGUCGAGCGUUAUCCGGAAUGAUUGGGCGUAAAGGGUGCGUAGGCAGCAUGCUAAGUCUGGAGUGAAAGGUACCGGCUCAACCGGUA
Molecule: ribosomal RNA, 293 nt
Filed under: uncultured bacterium
Lineage: Bacteria
Description: partial 16S ribosomal RNA
Rfam family: Bacterial small subunit ribosomal RNA
Source: RNAcentral